GACGAACCGUGCGAACGUUGUUCGGAAUCACUGGGCUUAAAGGGCGCGUAGGCGGGUUCGCAAGUCUGUGGUGAAAGCCUCCAGCUUAACUGGAGAAGUGCCGUGGAUACUGCGAAGCUUGAGGAGGGUAGGGGCGUCUGGAACGGUCGGUGGAGCGGUGAAAUGCGUUGAUAUCGACCGGAACUCCGGUGGCGAAGGCGGCAUCCUGGACCAAUUCUGACGCUGAGGAGCGAAAGCCAGGGGAGCAAACGGG
Molecule: ribosomal RNA, 253 nt
Filed under: uncultured bacterium
Lineage: Bacteria
Description: partial 16S ribosomal RNA
Rfam family: Bacterial small subunit ribosomal RNA
Source: RNAcentral